RNAcentral lists this ribosomal RNA (897 nucleotides) under Ophiura luetkenii. RNAcentral describes it as "small subunit ribosomal RNA". The record is from RNAcentral. Lineage: Eukaryota; Metazoa; Echinodermata; Ophiuroidea; Amphilepidida; Ophiuridae.
AACGAAUUUGGUUCUGGUUUUUAUUCUUGAAACUUUAAAGAGUUAUACAUGCAAGCUAAUAAGUUCCCCGGUGAGGACCCGAGAAAAUUAGAAAAUAAAUUUAAUAUGUUUUUCUUCAUGAAGCGGAAGAAUAACCAUUUUUAUAAGAGGUAAUAUGGCUGUUAAAUAUCGUCACAUCUGCAGUAGUAAAUAUUUAACCCUGUCUGAAAAGACGAUUAAAUCAAAUAAAAAAGAAACUGGCGGAAAUACCGUGCCAGCAGCCGCGGUUAAACGGAUGGUUUUCAAUAUAAUAAGUAGCUUAAUACAGAAAUCCUUAAUAAAAGAUGGUUAGGUUUAAAGCUUUAAUGUGGAAAUUAAUUUUAUUAUGUUCCUCUUGUAUUGCGGAGAGACUGUUAAGGUUAGGAGGAAGACCGGGUUUUGAUAUCCCGUUAUCCCUAAAAUAAAAAGUUAAUGCUGGUGGAGUACGAAGAAUAUCUUUGAGAAACAAAGAACUUGGCGGUGAUUUAAUUCGUAUCAGGGGAGCUUGUUUGAAUAAAAUGAUAAUCCACAUUAUACCUUACCUUUUCUAGAAAAUACAGCCUCUAUAUCAUCGUCAUUAAGUUUUCAUUGUGAAUUAAAGAAGGCUAAAAAACUAGAGAUGGUUAGAUGUCAGAUCGAGAUGGAGCUAAUGAAAAGGAGAUGAUGGGCUACAAUAUUAAUAUUUCUUAUAGCCUAUAGUUAAAAAAUAGAUUCUUUUAUGAAAAGAAAAGUUGAAAUAGGACUUGAUAGUAAUAAAGAAAGAGAGAGCCUUUAUGAAGUAAGCUCUAAAUUGCGUACACAUCGCCCGUCACCUGCGGGGUGAAACCUGGAGUAAGUCGUAACAAAGUAGGCAUACCGGAAGGUGUGGCCUGGCCAAUU